UAUUAUUUUUAGGAAAAAAAGUGUGUGACACCCCAAUAAUCCCACAUCGGAUGGGAAUGGUGUUGUCAUUGGGUUUAUAAGAGACUUAGACACUAGUAAUAAUAACUGGGCUUAAGCAUUUUGGGCCGGUGGUUGGGCCCAACGAGUUAUUAUUGCUAGUGGGCUGGGUCGUUAUAUUUGGUAUCAGAGCCAGUUCACCGGCUGGACAUGUGUGACGAGUCUCGACUGAGUCAGGGUCUGGAUGACGGGCUAGCGAGACAAGUCUCACAUCGCUUGGUGAUCUUGGGCUGUGUGUGUGAUUGGACUGACGAGGUGCCUUAACGGGGGGAGUCUGUGACACCCCAAUAAUCCACAUCGGAUGGGAAUGGUGUUGUCAUUGGGUUUAUAAGAGACUUAGACACUAGUAAUAAUAACUGGGCUUAAGCAUUUUGGGCCGGUGGUUGGGCCCAACGAAUUAUUAUUGCUAGUGGGCUGGGUCGUUAUAAAGUGAAUAUUUGUUUUAUAAUUUUACUCAAAAGAUCAUUUUAAUAGAAAAAUU
This 538-nucleotide long non-coding RNA is filed under the name Ananas comosus (pineapple). Its description in RNAcentral is "long non-coding RNA (ACOM_LNC018356)". Lineage: Eukaryota; Viridiplantae; Streptophyta; Magnoliopsida; Poales; Bromeliaceae. The record is from RNAcentral.